This is a long non-coding RNA of Capsicum annuum, 833 nucleotides long. RefSeq lists it as uncharacterized. The transcript has 4 exons. The record is from RefSeq and is a predicted model, not a curated record. Lineage: Eukaryota; Viridiplantae; Streptophyta; Magnoliopsida; Solanales; Solanaceae.
CUUUGGGAAAGUGCUAGAAGACAUCUUUCCUCUUGUUUGCUCUCACUUGUCAUCGUCGGUGAGCUGCAGUGAGAGUGACAGAAGGUUUUUGGGAUUCAAGGAAGCUUCCAUCUGUGAGAAGCUAGGAUCCAUCCUUUUCAACUUUCUACUUCUCAACAGUUCUUCAGCAGACGAUGACAACCAAAUCCAUAACUUGCUCUCCGUCUCAGGGUUCUCUGGUGGUGAUGGUUAAUUACUAUCUCUUCGCUUAUAAUCCGUAUCAGAAUAGCCAUUAUUGAGAAUCUCCAUUGUAAGAUAGAAUGUGGUGCUUUCACUCUUUCGCUUGAAACUUUUGAGGCUAUUGAAGAGUAUCACUUGCAAGAUCCACCACUACUUCGCGGCACAGGUACCUCAGCUCAUACACCGCACAAGUAGGAGUCAGGUCAUACAGCUAUUGUUGGUGAGCUCCAGUUUGCUUCGGAGCUUUCCGAGUCGGUUCUGUAUGUUUUGUUAUUGUACAGGAGUCAUGUGUGGGCGGGGGUUUGUCCCGACCCUAGUUAUGUCAUGUAUAUCUUAGAGGCUUUGUAGACAUAAGGAAGGGUAAAGUCAUGGAAGUUUAUAUAGUGAUGUUAUAUUUGUAUAUGUGGUGGCCCCGACGGCCAAGUAUUAUAUAUAUAUAUAUAUAUAUUUGUGCGUGUUGUGCUGAUACAGGUAGUUAGACCCUUCUAUAUGCAACAAAGUGAUGUCCAAAUUUUUGGUGACAUGUAAGUGAAAGUACAGGUAUCUGAACGGGUUCUCCCGGGCCUUCUCGGCUUCGGGUGCCAGUCCGGCCCGAUGGAAUUUUGGGGCGUGAC